This is a non-coding RNA of Triticum urartu, 767 nucleotides long. NCBI's taxonomy places the organism in Eukaryota, Viridiplantae, Streptophyta, Magnoliopsida, Poales, Poaceae. The record is from RefSeq and is a predicted model, not a curated record.
AAGAAAACACUUGAUUGGACUGCGGCCCAUGAGUGAGCAAUAUUUAUUUCUUUUUGGGUCGGGGUCCGGCCAUGUCAUGCAGGUGCUCCAGUCCCACCGCCGGCCGGCCUCCGUGCUCCGGCCACCGACGCGUCCCCGGCGGCGUCCUCGCCCCUGCCUCCAACUCCAAGCCGCGCCGACCGUCCACUGCUCCUCCCCGUCCACCGAGCUCCGGCCAUCAGGUUAAUUAGUAUGUGCUACCUCGCUCGUGCUCUCCCAAUCUAAUGAAUCCUGUAACAUCUGGUGAUUGACGCCACGGAUGAAGAGAACCGAGUGGUUGCGGCUGAUUUUGGUGGAUUAAGCACCGAUUUCAGGGGCUGGAAGGAAGAAGAUUCAGAGGAGGGAGGCGAGCUGGGCCAUAAGGGCAAGUUCCCGCACACCACAUGUUCGAUGAAAUGCCCACCAAGGAACCGACCCGACCCAUGCUGCCACCCAUCAAUCAAUGUUCUAAAAGGUUAUCCCAGAAGGUAUGAAGGAUAAUGUGGCAGUCUGUACAACCAUAUAAUCUCGACCAAAUUGCUUUCCCAUGAGGGAAUUAAAGCUGUCAGCUAGCUGCAAUGAAGGCUGCAUAUGAAGAGCCGAGAGGGAUGAUGAAGACUGUCAGGAUUGAAGGCAUGGAUGUAUGCAGCAUCCUGUUGUUUACUACUCCCUCCGUGAGUAUACAGAUAGCUGCAAUGAAGGCUGCAUAUGAAGAGCUAAACUAGUGAUCUAAACACUCUUAUAUUUCU